Molecule: long non-coding RNA, 1833 nt
Organism: Phasianus colchicus (ring-necked pheasant)
Lineage: Eukaryota; Metazoa; Chordata; Aves; Galliformes; Phasianidae
Source: RefSeq, a predicted model, not a curated record
GGGUGGGGGAGAGAGGAGAAAGAGAAAAAGAGGGAGAAGAGUUACUCUUGUGCAUUGUAAUGCAACCUUUAAACAUUUACUAGCAACAUAUUUGGCUGGAAAAUAUAAAUUGCAAGAGACUGCAGAAAUUAGUGAUUUUCUUGCAGAGUAAAUGCACUUUGCACAAACAUGAGAAUCGGGCCCCAACUUACUCUUUUAUUUUAGUUUCAAAAUCUCUAAGCGUUCAACAGGUUUAAACCUGCCUCAGCCACUGCCACAUUUUCUACUGCAUGUUUUGCUUCACACAUGAACAAAUGGCUGACGUCCAUAGGCCGCCGGUGCCAGCGAUCUGGCAGUGCAUUUGUUGCAUUAGGCAGAGUAACAGCGGUUCAUUUUCCUAUGCCAGUUUUCUCUUACAUGUUCAGUGUUCAACCUGGAGCAUUAUGAAUGCAUUUCCAGGUGCUCGGAAGUGACUUAAACUCUAAAAUCUAAAUUUGAAGUAGAAAUAUGCCUUUAACUAAGCCAUGGUUUCAUUACACUUGUAGAUUUCACCAACUACACUGAGUAAUAUGUUAACUUUAACUUAGAAUGCCCUCUCUAUUGUCGACUGAAUUGCAUCCUUUAUUACGCUCUCUAACCUUCAUUCCUAUGGAACCAGCACCUCUCUUAAGGACGUUUCUUAGAGGUCAACACCUACAGCCUUCCACCUCGCCUGACCUCCAGUUGGUCUCUGUUUAUCAGGGAUCAGACACAGCAAGCGUCCCAGUGACAUACUGUGAGCAAGCACAUCAUUACAGGUGGUAGUCAUUAGGAUCUCUGCACAAGUGUACUAUGACAAAGGAAAAAAAAAGGAAGGGAAGAUUGAGUGACGUACUUCAGGAGAAGGCCAGCCCCUGGAGAGACCCUGCAGUGGAGUACUUGCUAGAGUCCACAAAAGACUGGUCUGAUAAUGGACGACAACAGGGAAUAAGAAAGGAAAGAAAGAAAAAGGAUGGUAUUAGGACUGGCAUCACCCAUUGCCCUGGUCAGAAUAAGGAAACGAGAGGGAAUCCAGAUCACGCAGGCAACACAGAGGUCAUGAUUGAAGCAUUUUCUGAUUCAAUGGAUUAGGCAUUAGCAGAAUGACAGAUCUACCAAGAAAACCUCCCAAAAUAUCACCAGAAUAAAGAACCAGGGCUGAGAGGUGAAGUGCUAUUCUGAAGAGGACUUUGUUCAUAAAUAUGAAAUUAUACAUUGCUUGAGUAUUUUAAAUGCAUCACUGGCAUUGCUUCCAAAAGGAGAUGUCUCAUCAAUCAUGUUAUAUUAUGAAUUCAGAGUGUGCAGAUUCUAUGACAGUAAAUUCAACUUAAUAAGUAAGUACAGCAUACUUCAAUGGUAUUUGCUACAUUAUUAUUAGAGUACAAAAUAAUAACCAGUUAGCAAUUCUUAAAUUUUAAGUACUAGUUACAUAGGUAAAUAUUUUCUUCUAAAUUUGCAGCUGUUAAGAAGCCUUGAAGGUAAUAUUUUCCUCUUUUAAAUUUUGAAGUCUAGCAAUGGAAGUCAGAAUAAUUAAUUACUGCUGUUACAACACUAACCUUAAGAUUUCAUAGAGUCCUAAAAUCACAGAAUGGCUUGGAUUGGAAGGGACCUUUAAGAUCAUUUAUUUUCAACCCGUCUGUUACAGGCAGGGACAACUCCCACUAGACCAGGUUGCUCAACCUUGCUAUGUUCAGCACUGCUUCUCCUGUCCAUGUGAGGGUCUCAGUUUAUAAACAUAUUUAUAGGACAAGACCUUCUGGCCUGAUUCUGAUUGUAGCUUUCUGCAGAUGUCUGUAGGCAGGUCCUAUUCAUUUAAUUUUCUCAAGUGAAUAGAGA